GAUGAACGCUGGCGGCGUGCCUAAUGCAUGCAAGUCGAGCGAACGGACGAGAAGCUUGCUUCUCUGAUGUUAGCGGCGGACGGGUGAGUAACACGUGGAUAACCUACCUAUAAGACUGGGAUAACUUCGGGAAACCGGAGCUAAUACCGGAUAAUAUUUUGAACCGCAUGGUUCAAAAGUGAAAGACGGUCUUGCUGUCACUUAUAGAUGGAUCCGCGCUGCAUUAGCUAGUUGGUAAGGUAACGGCUUACCAAGGCAACGAUGCAUAGCCGACCUGAGAGGGUGAUCCGCCACACUGGAACUGAGACACGGUCCAGACUCCUACGGGAGGCAGCAGUAGGGAAUCUUCCGCCAUGGGCGAAAGCCUGACGGAGCAACGCCGCGUGAGUGAUGGAGGUCUUCGGAUCGUAAAACUCUGUUAUUAGGGAAGAACAUAUGUGUAAGUAACUGUGCACAUCUUGACGGUACCUAAUCAGAAAGCCACGGCUAAACACGUG
RNAcentral lists this ribosomal RNA (497 nucleotides) under uncultured bacterium. RNAcentral describes it as "partial 16S ribosomal RNA". It matches the Rfam family "Bacterial small subunit ribosomal RNA", at positions 28 to 507 of the family's 1533-position model. The record is from RNAcentral.